GAUGAACGCUGGCGGCGUGCUUAACACAUGCAAGUCGAGCGAGUGAGUUCUUCGGAACGAUCUAGCGGCGGACGGGUGAGUAACACGUGGGCAACCUGCCUCAUAGAGGGGAAUAGCCUCCCGAAAGGGAGAUUAAUACCGCAUAAAAUUAUCGAGUGGCAUCACAUGAUAAUCAAAGGAGUAAUCCGCUAUGAGAUGGGCCCGCGGCGCAUUAGCUAGUUGGUGAGGUAACGGCUCACCAAGGCGACGAUGCGUAGCCGACCUGAGAGGGUGAUCGGCCACAUUGGGACUGAGACACGGCCCAGACUCCUACGGGAGGCAGCAGUGGGGAAUAUUGCACAAUGGGGGAAACCCUGAUGCAGCAACGCCGCGUGAGUGAUGAAGGUCUUCGGAUUGUAAAGCUCUGUCUUUGGGGACGAUAAUGACGGUACCCAAGGAGGAAGCCACGGCUAACUACGUGCCAGCCGCCGCAGUAA
RNAcentral lists this ribosomal RNA (476 nucleotides) under uncultured bacterium. RNAcentral's name for it is "partial 16S ribosomal RNA". It matches the Rfam family "Bacterial small subunit ribosomal RNA", at positions 28 to 523 of the family's 1533-position model. The record is from RNAcentral.